GACGAACGCUGGCGGCGUGCCUAAUACAUGCAAGUUGAGCGCUGAAGGUUGGUACUUGUACCAACUGGAUGAGCAGCGAACGGGUGAGUAACGCGUGGGGAAUCUGCCUUUGAGCGGGGGACAACAUUUGGAAACGAAUGCUAAUACCGCAUAAAAACUUUAAACACAAGGUUUAAGUGUGAAAGAUGCAAUUGCAUCACUCAAAGAUGAUCCCGCGUUGUAUUAGCUAGUUGGUGAGGUAAAGGCUCACCAAGGCGAUGAUACAUAGCCGACCUGAGAGGGUGAUCGGCCGCCUUGGGACUGAGACACGGCCCAAACUCCUACGGGAGGCAGCAGUAGGGAAUCUUCGGCAAUGGACGAAAGUCUGACCGAGCAACGCCGCGUGAGUGAAGAAGGUUUUCGGAUCGUAAAACUCUGUUGGUAGAGAAGAACGUUGGUGAGAGUGGAAAGCUCAUCAAGUGACGGUAACUACCCAGAAAGGGACGGCUAACUACGUG
This 497-nucleotide ribosomal RNA is filed under the name uncultured bacterium. Its description in RNAcentral is "partial 16S ribosomal RNA". It matches the Rfam family "Bacterial small subunit ribosomal RNA", at positions 28 to 507 of the family's 1533-position model. The record is from RNAcentral.